UACGUAGGGUCCGAGCGUUGUCCGGAAUUAUUGGGCGUAAAGGGCUCGUAGGCGGUCUGUUGCGUCGGGAGUGAAAACUUACAGCUUAACUGUGAGCGUGCUUCCGAUACGGGCAGACUUGAGGUAUUCAGGGGAGAACGGAAUUCCUGGUGUAGCGGUGAAAUGCGCAGAUAUCAGGAGGAACACCGGUGGCGAAGGCAGCCCCCUGGGCUGACACUGACGCUCAGGCACGAAAGCGUGGGGAGCAAACAGG
This 253-nucleotide ribosomal RNA is filed under the name uncultured bacterium. RNAcentral describes it as "partial 16S ribosomal RNA". It matches the Rfam family "Bacterial small subunit ribosomal RNA", at positions 524 to 776 of the family's 1533-position model. The record is from RNAcentral.